AUUGAACGCUGGAGGAAUGCUUUACACAUGCAAGUCGAAUGGCAGCACGGACUUCGGUCUGGUGGCGAGUGGCGAACGGGUGAGUAAUGUAUCGGAACGUGCCCAGUCGUGGGGGAUAACGUAGUGAAAAUUACGCUAAUACCGCAUACGAUCUAUGGAUGAAAGCGGGAGAUCGCAAGACCUCGCGCGAUUGGAGCGGCCGAGAUCAGAUCAGGUAGUUGGUGGGGUAAAGGCCCACCAAGCCAACGAUCUGUAGCUGGUCUGAGAGGACGACCAGCCACACUGGAACUGAGACACGGUCCAGACUCCUACGGGAGGCAGCAGUGGGGAAUUUUGGACAAUGGGCGAAAGCCUGAUCCAGCCAUUCCGCGUGCAGGAUGAAGGCCCUCGGGUUGUAAACUGCUUUUGUACAGAACGAAAAGGUUUCUACUAAUACUAGGAGCUCAUGACGGUACUGUAAGAAUAAGCACCGGCUAACUACGUGCCAGCCGCCGCAGUAA
This 500-nucleotide ribosomal RNA is filed under the name uncultured bacterium. RNAcentral describes it as "partial 16S ribosomal RNA". It matches the Rfam family "Bacterial small subunit ribosomal RNA", at positions 30 to 523 of the family's 1533-position model. The record is from RNAcentral.